UUUUUUUUAGUUUUUUUUUUAUUUUCAUUUGCUUCCCCUUUUUAAAAAAAGUUUCAGAGAACACACCCCUCCCUCUUCUAUUUUCCUCUUUGCUAGGGCUAUAUGAGACCCAUCAUCGCAAGCUGUCGGACCACUACAACUCCACCGUGGGUGGUGGUCGGGGUCACUCAAAAAAGGGAUUUUGACCCUUAUUUCUUGUAUUUUGAGGGGGCCAAACUCAUUCAAUCCAUCAGCCGAAGGAUGAGGGUCGAUUCAUGUAAGUCCUCCCCUCUUUUUAUUUCAAAAUAGAUCGGUAUUAAAAAAAAUGAAACAAGAAAAUGAAACGAAAACUCAAAGAACAACCGUUUGAAACUUCUGUUCUGUUCUUGUAUUUUCAGUGUGCGUAAAAAAAACAAAAUAGAAUAAUCGGACUCUUAUAGUCGAUUAAUGUGACUAUCUAUUUUUACAUUUUUGUCGUUUUUGCUUGAUUUUUCUCCUGUCCAUGUAUUACUCUCUCUGUCUUCGUAGCAGGUGUCAGAGACGCGUGGAUGGGGCGUUCGAGGAGUACGACGAAGAGGCGCGCAUGGUGGCAGCAAGCAGUGAGGUAUGCAGCGACAGAGGAGGGGGCUAGGGUUUGCUUGCUAAAAAUUUUGAUAACUAGUGAGCUAGGAUUUGGGCUGGUUUCGUUUGUAUUUUGGGUCUAAAAUGGGUUUUUAAAUUAUUGGGCCACACAUAAAUUGUAAAUGGACUUAAAAAAAAUUGGACUUUUUAAUUUUUUAUUUUAUUUUGGGUUUUAUUUUUGUUUUAUUGGUUUGGGUUUAUUUUUGGUUUGUUGGUCUGGGCCAAAAUUGGCUACUACACUUAAAACACGAAAAUCAUGUGCAUUACCUUUCCAACCAACUAGAAUUAGGAAAAUUUUAAAUCAAAUGUAAUGACAGCCAAUACAUUUUGUGUCGUCCCUCCUUUACAACUAUUAAGUAUAAAAACAAGUUAUUUCUUAUUCUAAAACAUACCAUGGAAUUUUGUAGAGAUAAUAAAAAUAACAAUAAGAGCAGAAGUAGUAAAAAAAA
This 1049-nucleotide long non-coding RNA is filed under the name Gossypium barbadense (sea-island cotton). RNAcentral describes it as "long non-coding RNA (GBAR_LNC000287)". The record is from RNAcentral. Lineage: Eukaryota; Viridiplantae; Streptophyta; Magnoliopsida; Malvales; Malvaceae.